ACGGGUGUAGCUCAAUUGGUAGAGCACUGGUCUCCAAAACCAGCGGUUGUGGGUUCGAUUCCUACCGCCCGUGCUA
Molecule: transfer RNA, 76 nt
Filed under: Crocinitomicaceae bacterium
Lineage: Bacteria; Pseudomonadati; Bacteroidota; Flavobacteriia; Flavobacteriales; Crocinitomicaceae
Description: tRNA-Trp
Rfam family: tRNA
About the family: Transfer RNA (tRNA) molecules are approximately 80 nucleotides in length.
Source: RNAcentral